UUAGUAAAGGGAACCUGAAAUUGUGGAUUCGAGAGGCUACAAACAGUUAUUGAGGCCCACAGGUUAAUGGCCACCACCUGUGCCAAAAUUCCCAACCACAAAUGCAAAGCUGCACCGCGGCUCAAAGGAGAAUAGUUUUCUGUAGGUGCAUCUAGAACAUGAAGUUCUAGAUACAUUGUAGUCCUAUGAUGGCCUCCUAAUAUCCCCACGGUUUGGUGUUUUGUUUUUCUACUCCGGGUUACUUCAGGCCGUGGUGAGGUCUUUCAUGGUCCCUUUAUCCCCAGAGACGCGUUUUCAGUCUUCCUAUUUUUGCAAGGGGGUCCCAUUUAACUCCGAUUUAACCAGCGCAUCUUCUCAACCUCUGUAAGUCAGCCGCGAGCCUAGCUCAGCCCGUUACGACCCAGCGUGAACUCCUUGGCUGCUGUCCUCUUGGGGAAGGAAAACAAAGGACUGAAAGUGGACACGAAACACGUUUUCCGGUAUUCUACAAAUGGAAUCUCGGUCCUUUACAAUAUUUUUACUGAAAAAAUAAAAACGUUUUGGAAAUAACACAGUUAAAAGGUGCUGAAAACGCUCAUGAUUUCUAUGCUGAACAGAAAUGUUAUCAAUUGUACCAUAAAAAAAACUGAUUUUAGGAUAAA
Spea bombifrons (plains spadefoot toad) is the source of this 641-nucleotide long non-coding RNA. RefSeq lists it as uncharacterized. The record is from RefSeq and is a predicted model, not a curated record. NCBI's taxonomy places the organism in Eukaryota, Metazoa, Chordata, Amphibia, Anura, Pelobatidae. The transcript has 2 exons.